GGCGCCGCCAUCUUGUUGGCCAGCCUAGUCCGUACAGUCACUACCUGUACGGACGCUAGGCAAUAUGGUCGCGCCUACUGCACGACUUCCGUGCUGACGCCGCCAUCUUGGAAUCGUACGCUCGGGGGCAGCGUCCUAAUCGGCCACCGAGAGGGAGCCGCCAUCUUGCCGGUGGAUUCUGGCGCCAGUAGCUGGUACUGCCUAGAUGUCUAUAGGGAAGGGGGCCCUCUUUUAGGAACGCUACCUGGAUUGAGUAGCUCUUUCCACUAUUCAGUCGUUUUUCCUUUCCGCGUCUACUAAUGGACGUCCGUAUACUGUGUGCCUUAUGCUGGGAAGGAAAGCAUUCCCUUCGUCAUGCCUCCAACAUUACCUCUGACAGAGUCCCGGGUACCUUCAGCCGCCUUGGCAGGAUGCCUCAAACCGCAGCGGAUAGUGAGGAGUGCUUCCAGGAGCGGCGUUCUGGUUGCCCCGGGCUACCCACUCCGCGCGGUUUGCACCUGGCCGGAAGGGGGCAGCGUGACCAUGGCAACGUAGGACUCCGAAACCAGCUACUUCCUCUCGGUUGAGGCUUCGAGAUUCUCUACUCCACCUCUUUGGAUAUUUUCGUUUCUGCUCGGAAGGCAAACUAUGUAGUAUGCCUUUCCUCUUGGAAAAGUUGAAGGUCAAAACACAACUCUAAUUUAUACAGCUAGUUGUAUCUUAUAAUGGGAAUAAAGGGUUGGUUACAUGCCAUCUGAUCCUAAGAGUGCACAGUUCAGGCUUUCUUAGCACGUCGGGAAGACUUUUGUGAUUUUUGUUACUGUACUGGCUUAAAAUGGGGGGGGGGGGGGGCGGGCGGAGGGUGCAGGAGUGCCCCUCCAGAUCAGGCGAAGGAGAGCGAGGUUAUGGUAGUGGCCAUGGCCCCUCCGCCGCCUCCCGCAGCAGCCGCGGCCCCGCCCGCGCCGGGUCCCUUUUGCUGCCUGCUGCCGCCGCGGCUUUGGCAUCGGCGGCAGGGGCCCCAACCGGAGACCCCGGGCACUCCUAGAGCUCCUCAUCCCGCCAAGGAGCCCCGGAAGUCGAGUCCCGCGUGAGAUCCGUCCGCCCUGUGCAGUCGUCCAACCUCGGAACCCGUUCUUGGGAGGGUGGGUUUUCAUAAUGAAAAUCCUGCGUCCCUCGGCGAUCAGGGCGCGCCAGGAGCUGGAGGGGCCUCAGCUCAGCAACAAGAGGCCCGUGCUGUCCCAGAGCCCGGCACUCCCCUGGGGGGACUUCGCCAUACGCUACCCACCGCCAGGGUGAGCUACCCACCGCCAGGGUGACUCUCAGCCGUGCCCCGGGGACGGGGUGGGGCCCCUGCGCCUUCUGGCCGGGUCUGAAGACGGCUGCGGGCGGCCUUCACUCCCACGGGGAAACCCGUGUCUUCAUAUGGAGAAUGUAACUAAGCAACUCCUGGGUAUUGCUGCCUCCUCGUCCAUUUUGUUUGGCCAAGCGGUUUGCAGAGACCUUAAACUGACACCAACCCCCUCACGCAAGCAUGCACCCUCUGUGGCCGCUACGGAGUCACAAGCAAACAUAAGUUCCUGAAAUGGCUUCCCCAACAGCUCUUGUGAUCAACAGUCUCUCCUGCAUCCCAGCGCCUGGAUGUCUUAUGCACCCCCUUAGAUAGACCUUCUGUGGCUUACUCUGGUCUGAAGGGAUCACUGGGACCCUAUCCUAGGAAGCCCAAAGCACUGCCCCCAGGGACCCUUAUGAUAAAGGCAUCCGGCCUCUCUGCACCCUGUCUUGACUUGAAGACCACUGGAGAGACGAAGUGCACCUUCUCCAGGACCCUUUUUCUUAAGGAAAAGAACUUUCAGAAUGUAAGCAAGAAAAACACCUUAGUGCCAGGAAAUGAGAACGUAUUCAGCAAAAUGAACACCUUGAUAUAAAUGAUACCCAAAUAGUCUUUUCUGGCUUUCAUUUGACCUAUUAUGAGAUGUGACUGGCAGCUAUUUCCACAAUUAAUUGAUCCUGGAAAAUUUGGCAAGCCUUACUCUUCUCCAGUUCAAGAACUAGACAACUGCCCACUUUGUAAGUAUCAAUAUAAUAGUAUCUAUUAAGUGUUUUUGGAGAAGGCAAUGGCACCCCACUCUAGUACUCUUGCCUGGAAAAUCCCAUGGACGGAGGAGCCUGGAAGGCUGCAGUCCA
Bubalus bubalis (water buffalo) is the source of this 2163-nucleotide long non-coding RNA. RefSeq lists it as uncharacterized. The record is from RefSeq and is a predicted model, not a curated record. Lineage: Eukaryota; Metazoa; Chordata; Mammalia; Artiodactyla; Bovidae. The transcript is spliced from 3 exons.